GUUCCCAAGGCAGGAGAACCCCAGAGGACGCGGAGGAAGCCCCCAGGACGCAGGUGGUGAAAGGAGAUCUGCAGGCUGUGUGAAGGACACUCACACCUUGACUUCCACAGUCCUCCUUCGCUUCUCAGCAGUUUUGGUGGCUCCAGACUCAGUGGCUCUCCUGCUCUCUCCAGCUCGCAGGUCUGUCCUUGGCUACAAAGGGCAAAGUGUGGCGCCUGGUGGUAGGGCCAGAGAGGAAUGAGCGUCGUCACCUCCCACAGGCACCGAGAGGUUUGGCUCCGUGGUUUUGUGCGGGAAGAAUUCCCCAGCCUUCUCUUUUGUUUUUCCCCCUUACUAGUAUUAUUUUCAGCUGUUUACCCCAUGAAGGAAAAAAAGUAUUUUCUUCAUUACUGCACCUGCUACCAAAGUGACUCAUUUACAGACUCAUUUUGGCAGAGGCUGCAGCAUCUGUUAUCAUUUUUACCUGGUCCCCAAGGGCAAAGCUUCUUACCUUGCUGGCUUCAAAAUAUUGUUGGCUGCAGAUCUGCCAUGCGCUACCCUCCGCUCUCAAGAACAGCCCGUUCCCUUUCUUCAGCGAGAUGUCCAGCCAUCAGGCUCAGAUUACCCAACAGAGAUGGGAGAUUGGUGCUGGCCCUGCACAGGAUGCCUCCAAGGAAGCCCUGUGGCGAGAAAUGUACCUAGCUCAACUUCCAUUCUGCUGCUGGCGCCUGCCCGUGUGACCUCCACGUUACAUGCGGGUCUCUGCCCUUGAAACUCCUGUAUACGUGUCCAAGUGCUGAGGCUUUCACUUUGCAGCAUAUUGCAAAUAUGUUUCAUUGAAAACAAAUAUUCGUCUACCAUGGAAUAGCUAACAUUCAGUUUAGUGUUCCAGUAUGUGGGUGACAGCUCACUUAGCCAGUCAUGCUCAGCCGGCCAGCAUUUGACCUCUUCCCUGCAGCUUUGUCCUCUUUUAGCUUCUGUGAUGUUGAGUUUUCCUGGACCUCUCCCUGCCUUUCUGAUGCCUUCUGUCUCCUCAGAACACACCUUUGCUUGUUCCCUCUGUCUGCCAAGUGUCUUCCCCAAUGCCUUGCUUCCUUCUUUCCUGUGUGCUCACUCUCUCAGGUGCCCCAGCUGUGUGUGGGUUGCGCCUGCAGCUUCCCGGGGACAUCUAGGAUGUCCUCUUCUCCUCUCAUCCUCAACUCCUCUGCCGCUGAGCUCCCAUUCCCAUUGUAAAGCCAGGAUUUCCAUCAGAGCAUCCCUGUUCUUCCCACCUUCCGGGGGCCAUCCAGAAACUUCAUGUGCAGAACAAUGGGAGACAGAAAGCACCCAGUAAGUGCGUGCUGAAUGAAUGAAUAAAUGCCGCCCACAGCCGAGAGGGACUUGUGCAUUGUGCACAUAUUAGAUCUAUUCUUGGAGCGAGUGCAUUUGCUGUCCUCUGAAGCCUUACACCUCUGUCUUCAGCCUGUGCUUGCCCCUGCCAUUCCAGGUUAGCAGAUCUGUUUUGUAGCCAGGGGUCUUGGUUCCUAACAGCAGAAAUCACUCUGCUCAGCUUACACGGAGAACAAAGGUACUGGAAGAGUGUGGGAUCGGGAAGACAUGGGGACCGAGGGUGCCGGGGUUAGAUUGCAGAUGGACACUGAAGGUCCAGAUGCAGGCACUGCAUUCAUUUCCACGGCCAUGCCAUACCCAUCGCACAUACCUGCUCCCUCCUCCCCACUCACUGGAGUCUCGUGAGCUGCAGCCAGCCCUGACUGCUGUGGAGGUCUUCCCUCAUCACUCCAGUCUGUGUCUCUUUCUUUUCUAUUUCCCAUUGCACCUCAUUUGUUUCUUCACAUAAGGAGCCCAUUUCUUAAGACAAGUCUUACACUUUUUAGAUCUACCCCCACCAGGCUGGGCAGAUGCUCCUGCCACGUCCCUCUCUGAGGUCUUCAUUGACCGACUGCACAGGGUGGCGUGGCUGAAGACCAGUCUCUAGGUGAGGCCCACAUGGCUAAUGACCCACCAACAUUGGUCUUUCCUUUCUCCAGAAAUGGAGCUGGGCCCUGGAGGCUUCAUUUUCCAGCCUUCCCUGUAGCUGGUUGUGACAUGUGGCUGUUAUCCUGAGGGCAAUGUCACUAGAAGCCUCUAUGAGUUUCUGGGGCUUCCGUAGCAAAGCCCCGCAGCCUGCAGGCUUAAACGACAGAAAUAUCUGUUCUCCCAGGUCUGGAGGCUGGAAGUCUGAGACCAAGGUGUCUGCAGGGCUGGGCUGGUUCCUCUCCUUCCUUACAGACAGGGUCUUUUCCUGGGUCAUCCCACUCUGUGUAUCUGUAUCCUAAUCUCCUCUCCGUAGUAUUGGUUUAGGACCCACUCCUAUGACCUCAUUUAACUUAAUCGCCUCUUCAGAGGCCCAAUCUGCAAAUACAGUCCCAUUCUGAGGUCCUGGGGUGAGGUUUUAACAUGGGACUCUUGCGGGGCAAAGCACUAACAAAGCACUCCGUGCUACUUCCAUAUUGCUGGCCUAAGAGAUCUUCCUGGAUUCCAGCUGCAGCCCUUGCUCCUGGCUGGAAUGGCAUCCACUGGGGUGUCCUUGGAAGCCACAAGGUCAAGACGGCAGAGGCUCCAUCCACUGAGCUCCGUCCACUACCCGCCAGCGGGUAUGCCCACCUCUGCCUGCUGCGCGAGUGGGAAGUGUCUUCUUUAUUCUUUGAGCUGUGCUUUCGUGGGGUCUCUUGUUGGAGGGGCCCCUCCUAGCCUAAUGAAAACACCAGGUGCAAACGGAAUAGGGAAAUGUUCACAGAAGUGCAGCUCAGGCUAACUGAAUUCAUUACCUGCUCUUCUCUGAGUACGCUGGGAGAGGCAGACGACAUUGUAAUGGCAAUGAUGCCCCCAAGCCAUCCGGGUCUCCAGUGAAUCCUGGAAAUAAAUUGAACUGGCAGGAGAACAUCAGACGGAAGGAAAUGCUUCACAGGAGCAAUCGUGGGUAUAUCUAAGCUUCCUGGAAAUGUGCUGGAAGUGAAGUUUUGUUUUCUCUUUUUCGCAUUCUCCAUAAUUAAAAUAUUAUGUUAAAAUAUUUUAGGCCAGGCGCGGUGGCUCAAGCCUGCAAUCCCAGCACUUUGGGAGGCCGAGACGGGUGGAUCCGAUGCAUCGCGCGAUCGAGACCCUGCCUGGGCG
Molecule: long non-coding RNA, 3129 nt
Organism: Rhinopithecus bieti (black snub-nosed monkey)
Lineage: Eukaryota; Metazoa; Chordata; Mammalia; Primates; Cercopithecidae
Source: Ensembl